UACGGGGGGAGCAAGCGUUGUUCGGAUUUACUGGGCGUAAAGGGCGCGUAGGCGGCCUCUGCAAGUCGACUGUGAAAUCUCCGGGCUUAACCCGGAACGGUCAGCCGAUCCUGCAGGGCUAGAGUGCAGAAGGGGCAACCGGAAUUCUCGGUGUAGCGGUGAAAUGCGUAGAUAUCGAGAGGAACACCUGCGGCGAAGGCGGGUUGCUGGGCUGACACUGACGCUGAGGCGCGAAAGCUAGGGGAGCGAACAGG
RNAcentral lists this ribosomal RNA (254 nucleotides) under uncultured bacterium. RNAcentral's name for it is "partial 16S ribosomal RNA". It matches the Rfam family "Bacterial small subunit ribosomal RNA", at positions 524 to 776 of the family's 1533-position model. The record is from RNAcentral.